This 73-nucleotide transfer RNA is filed under the name Thermoprotei archaeon. RNAcentral describes it as "tRNA-Gln". It matches the Rfam family "tRNA". From Rfam's summary of the family: Transfer RNA (tRNA) molecules are approximately 80 nucleotides in length. Their secondary structure includes four short double-helical elements and three loops (D, anti-codon, and T loops). Further hydrogen bonds mediate the characteristic L-shaped molecular structure. tRNAs have two regions of fundamental functional importance: the anti-codon, which is responsible for specific mRNA codon recognition, and the 3' end, to which the tRNAs corresponding amino acid is attached (by aminoacyl-tRNA synthetases). tRNAs cope with the degeneracy of the genetic code in two manners: having more than one tRNA (with a specific anti-codon) for a particular amino acid; and 'wobble' base-pairing, i.e. permitting non-standard base-pairing at the 3rd anti-codon position. The record is from RNAcentral. Lineage: Archaea; Thermoproteati; Thermoproteota; Thermoprotei.
GGCCCCAUAGUGUAGCGGACUAGCACAUCGGCCUUUGGAGCCGAUAGCGGCGGUUCGAAUCCGCCUGGGGCUG